This 3202-nucleotide long non-coding RNA is filed under the name Gossypium barbadense (sea-island cotton). RNAcentral's name for it is "long non-coding RNA (GBAR_LNC013327)". The record is from RNAcentral. Lineage: Eukaryota; Viridiplantae; Streptophyta; Magnoliopsida; Malvales; Malvaceae.
UUUAUAUUAAAGGAGAUUUAGCCUAAACUGGUAAUCCCACUGUAAGAAAUGACGUUCGCGGGAGUGUACUCUCUUGGAAAAUGUGCGCACAUGAAUAUGAAUUGACGGACCCGAAUUAGUACACUAAAGUGUCCCCCUGAAAAUCCAUCAAAAUUUCGAAAAAUUCAACGGGAUAAAAAUAGAAAAAUGAUAAGUACUUAAAAUCAUGAAAUUAAACUUGAAAUACAUAGAAAUGAUAAUUAUUUGAUAUACUAAAAUAUGACAUGGAAAAUACAUGUAUGUGAAACUUGUCUGAUAAUUAUGCAUAUUCAAGAUUAUGAACUGCUACUGGAAUAAAUAUACAUUGAAAUCUAAAAAAAAUUAUGGUACAUGAAAUAUUGUCAUAAUGAAUUGAAUAAUUUAUAUUUAAAAAGAAACAACAAGAAAAUGAUAUGUAUAAUGACAUGUAAAUAUGAGACUAUCUUUGAUACGUUGAUACUAAGAAAAAUUAUGUGUAUUAAGACGAGUAAUAAAUUUAAGUGAGACAUGGCGAGAAAAUAAGUUUGUCAAUAUUAAAGUACGCUAACCAAUGUUGUUGCUUGAAUUUUAGGCAAGUGCCAAAUUACUAUUGAAUGAUAAUAUGUUUAAUUAUAAGGUGCUUUGGAAUGGUAAGUGCUUAGAUAAAAAUAUAAUUGAGCUUAUGAAAGAGUGGAAAGGUUUCAGUUAUGCAAUUUCUUAUGAAAAAAUUUGUUAUAUGAUACGCCCCGUAUGAACCCUGCACCUAAUUUGAAAAUAAAAAAAAAAUUAAAAUCUAUAUAUAUAUUUAGGAUUUUGCGAAAAAUUUCCUAUGAUUCCGAUUUAAUCUCAGUAGGUUCCUAAUAAAUGUUUUGGGCUUCGAGAGCCCAAUAGAGGGACGUUAUGAUUAUUUUCAGAAUAUGAAUAAUAAAUGGUUCAAAAUUAUUGAAAAUGUUUAGUAAACUCCGGUAAUGCUUCGUGCCCUAUUUCGACAACGGAUAUGGGUAGGGGGUGUUACACUUCUUCCCAUUUCGGUAAAAGCAUUUCCACCAAGAUUGCAAUCAUCGGAUGCAACAAAGUCGGGUGAAAACAAUUGCAAACCAUGAUUGUGCGUAUUAAAUGCAUCCCGCAACAUACCUUCCAUGUCAUCUUUUCUAACAGACUGAUGGUAAUCACUAUGAGGAUAAGCCAGAUUAAUCGUCGAAGAGAUUCUACUGGUGUGCACUCUCCAUGGAAAAUCCAUUUUUUAUACCCCCGAAUAAACCCAUCAACAAUUAGAUGUUCGUAGACAACUUUACGAAAAUGCCAAUUGAUGUUGCCACACUUUUUACACAGGCAAAGAAUCAUAUUCUCUUGGCUUGCAUUUUGAAAUGCAAAAUUUAGAAAAGUUUGUAGUCCAUUUCGUAGUUCUUGAAGUCUAAAGUUGACAAUAAAUUACACGGGUAAGUUGUUUAUUUAUAAGUAUAAUUAAGUUAUGUAAGUUAUGAUAUGAUAUAUAUUUAUGUAUUAUGUAAGUUAUGAUAUGAUAUAUAUAAGUUAUGUAAGUUAUGAUAUGAUAUAUAUAAGUUAUGUAAGUUAUGAUAUGAUAUAUAUAACUUAUGUAAGUUAUGAUAUGAUAUAUAUAUAUAAGUUAUUAUGUAUGUAUGUGAGUUAUGUAAAUUAUGAUAUGAUAUAUAUAAGUUAUUAAGUUAAGAUCCCAAGUUUUUUUUCAAUUCUUUAAAGUUAAGUAAAUUAUGUAAGUUAUGUAAGUUUUGAUAUGAUAUAUAUUUAUGUAAGUUAUGUAAAUUAUGCAAGUUAUGUAAGUUAUGAUAUAUAUUUUAUAAGUUUUAAAAACAUUUAAAAAUAUUAAAUAUUAAAAUCAAACAUUUUUAAUAUCAAAAAAAUAGUAAUUUGAUUUUUAUAUUAAAAUAAAUUUAAAUAAUGAUCAAAAUUAUCAUAUUGAUAAAAAAUAUUUAUAAGUUUUAAAAAAAUUUAAAAAUAUUAAAUAUUAAAAUCAAAUAUUAAGUUUUGAUAUGAUAUAUAUUUAUGUAAGUUAUGUAAAUUAUAUAAUAUUUUAAAAUAGAAACUUUAAAAUAUUAUUUUAAGCGGAUAUUAUUUAUUUUAAUUUUAAAGACAAAAUCGUAAAUGAAUCUCUUUUUUUUUUUUAAAAAAAAAACUCUAAUAAACCUGGAAGUUAUAUAUAACGAAAGCUGUCAUGAGUGUGAAAGGGGAAACUAUAAGAUUCAAAGUUGUAAAUUUUAGAAACAAAAAAAAAAAAAAGUUAGGCAAAUGUUCAAUAAUGAUUUAUGAAUGAAAUAUUCAGAUUAUUAGUUUGAAUUGAUUGAUUUAAUUAGUGAAAUAAGGUGAUUCUAGAAUUAAUAAUAUCAUUUUCAUUAUUAUGAUUGGUGGUCUGCAAAUUAUUCACUCUGACAAUUAAAUUAUUUUGACAAAACUUACUAUUUUCCUCUAAAUCAUGUAUAUUCAUGAAUCUUGAUUUUGAUCCCAGUGGGGGAAAAUUUUCAUUUUAUGGCUAUGAAUUUGGAAGAGUUGAAGUUCAUCUUCAUCAAAGAGAUGACAAAGCUAUUACCUUGUCAUAUAGGAAGGUAGAGCAAUUUACCGUGAAGAAAUUUGUCAAAAUUUAACUCAAGUUAAUGGCUUAACAAUUGAAGUAAUGAAUGAUACAGAAGCAGAGACAAAUGAUGCAGAGGCAGAGACAAAUUUCAUGAUUGAAGUAGAAUGCUCAAGUUAGGUUUACGGAUUCAAAAAUUACACUAUCACAUUCAACUAUAGAACCAAAAGGGGGAAAGGGAAGAAAAACAAAAAGGCAGAAAAUAAGGAAUGAGAAAUUGAACCAAAAGGCAUAAGAUAUAGAAAUAGAAGGAAUACAAUAAGAGAUUCCAGCAAAAGAGAAAAACAGAUUUGCAAAGAACUAUUUGUUAUUAUAACGCAGGAAUGCUCAAAGCAAAUAUGGAGAAAAACGUUGAUUGAUUAAGAUAUAUAUAUAUAUAUCUUAAACAUUCAGCAUUAAAAGAAAAGAAGAUAUUGGUGAUUAUGUAUACAAAAAUUUCGGGGGGGUGGGGGGGGAGAAGAAGAAAAGAGAGCUUACCGAGCUCGAAAACUUGAAGAAUGGGAGGGAAACACUAAUAAGGGAUUUUGUUACGGAAAAUCCUAAUUUGUGAGAUUGAAAGAGAAGCUUUUAAUUUCGCACGAGCUUUAGAAUCGGGGUUGU